GACCUUUUUUUCCCCAUUAGGUGAGGAUAUACGGAGGUAUGUUGGGAAGCUAACAGAUGCUCAGAAAAGCAUGAUGGAUGAUAGGUUUAAAUGGAAGGUUCGAGAGAUGGAAAAAUGGAAGGAAGGGAAGCCUGGCGAAGCCAGAGCUGCUUUGAGACGUUCUGUGAGGGAAAUUGGAUUGGAUGUAGCAGAGCAAAGUGGAGAGGUUACACGAUCUGUC
Humulus lupulus (European hop) is the source of this 220-nucleotide long non-coding RNA. RefSeq lists it as uncharacterized. Lineage: Eukaryota; Viridiplantae; Streptophyta; Magnoliopsida; Rosales; Cannabaceae. The transcript has 3 exons. The record is from RefSeq and is a predicted model, not a curated record.